GAGGGCAUAGCUCAAGUGAUAGAGUGCAUGCUUAGCAUGCAUGAGGUCCUGGGUUCAAUCCCCAAUACCUCCU
This 73-nucleotide transfer RNA is filed under the name Camelus bactrianus (Bactrian camel). It matches the Rfam family "tRNA". Rfam says of the family: Transfer RNA (tRNA) molecules are approximately 80 nucleotides in length. Their secondary structure includes four short double-helical elements and three loops (D, anti-codon, and T loops). Further hydrogen bonds mediate the characteristic L-shaped molecular structure. tRNAs have two regions of fundamental functional importance: the anti-codon, which is responsible for specific mRNA codon recognition, and the 3' end, to which the tRNAs corresponding amino acid is attached (by aminoacyl-tRNA synthetases). tRNAs cope with the degeneracy of the genetic code in two manners: having more than one tRNA (with a specific anti-codon) for a particular amino acid; and 'wobble' base-pairing, i.e. permitting non-standard base-pairing at the 3rd anti-codon position. RNAcentral also lists the same sequence under 2 other names. Lineage: Eukaryota; Metazoa; Chordata; Mammalia; Artiodactyla; Camelidae. The record is from Rfam by way of RNAcentral.